CGCGGGAUUCCUAAAGCGUCCGUAGCAGGUUUUGUAAAUCUCUUGUGAAAUUGCCAGGCUCAACUUGGCAACGUGCAGGAGACACUGCAAGACUGGGGACCGGGAAGGGUUAGAGGUAUUCCUGAGGGAGCGGUAAAAUGCUAUAAUCUCAGGAGGACCGCCUGUGGCGAAGGCGUCUAACUAGAACGGAUCCGACUGUGAGGGACGAAAGCUAGGGGAGCAAACCGGAUUAGAUACCCGAGUAGUCCUAGCCGUAAACGCUGUGAGCUAGGUGUCGCGUAUUCUACGGGAAUGCGCGGUGUCGAAAGGAAGCUAUUAAGCUCACCGCCUGGGAAGUACGGUCGCAAGACUGAAACUUUAAGGAAUUGGCGGGGGCGCACCACAAGGGGUGCGGCGUGCGGUUUAAUCUAACUCAACACAGAGAAUCUUACUAGGAGCGACGGCAGGAUGAAGGUCAGUCUAAAGGGCUUACCCAACAAGCCGAGAGGUGGUGCAUGGCCAUCGUCAGCUCGUGCUAUGAAGUGUCCAGUUAAGUCUGGCAACGAGCGAGACCUGUAUCUGCAAUUGCUAGGGGCUCUUCGGAGGACCGAGCACAUUGCAGGGACUGCCCUGGAAACAGGGAGGAAGGUGCAGGCUACGGUAGGUCUGUAUGCCCCGAAUCUCCUAGGCUACACGCGCGCAACAAUGGUACGGACAAUGGGCUGCGACUCCGAAAGGAGGAGCUAAUCCUCUAAACCGUAUCUCAGUCCAGAUUGAGGAUUGUAACUCAUCCUCAUGACGACGGAAUCCCUAGUAAUCGGACGUCAUCAACGUCCGGUGAAUAUGUCCCUGCUCCUUGCACGAAUUCGCCGAAUCACUAGU
This 861-nucleotide ribosomal RNA is filed under the name uncultured crenarchaeote. RNAcentral's name for it is "bacterial SSU rRNA". It matches the Rfam family "Archaeal small subunit ribosomal RNA", at positions 497 to 1362 of the family's 1478-position model. The record is from RNAcentral. Lineage: Archaea; Thermoproteati; Thermoproteota.